Molecule: long non-coding RNA, 2133 nt
Filed under: Mus pahari (shrew mouse)
Lineage: Eukaryota; Metazoa; Chordata; Mammalia; Rodentia; Muridae
Description: predicted gene 29183 (MGP_PahariEiJ_G0005964.1)
Source: RNAcentral
AACAAGUCCAGAGCCCUGCGGUUUGCAUCCCUGGAUGGAGUCUGUCAGCCAAGUGAAAAUCUGUUGAGGCAAAUAUAGACUCGGGACAGAAGGAUCCCGGAGGCCCUCAUUCACACCGUGGAAUCCCAGUCCCCCCAACAGCUUCCGUGCUGGGGCUUCUUUUAGGAAUACCAAACGCGAGUUCUGGAGGCCAAGACCUGAAGGCCUGCACAGGGCGCCCAAGCCCACCAGGGGGUAGUGUCUACCCGUGCGGAGAGGCCCCGGGAGGCCCAAGCAGAGGAAGGCAGAGGCCAGACCUUGAUGGGCAGUGCAGACGUGCACAAGAGAACAUGCUGGCCUCAGACCAGGCCUGGAGCGUGCAGGACCCUGCGUGUACCUAGGUGUGGCCUCAGGUGCCAGACGCUCAGCUGGUCGCUCUGACUUCCGGACCUCUGAUGAUUUCCCUGGCACUCUGCAAUCCUCUGUCCAUGGCGGGAAGCCUAGCAGUUUGUCUUCUUUAUAGCCUGCAUCUUUAGAGGUGUUAAGGUCCCCUAGCUGUCAGUGGGAGGGUAUUUUCUGGGACCACUAGAGAAAUUUCCUUCUGGCCCAGCCGGUCUCCUUUCUCCACACUCCAUGAAGAGAUGACUGGAUUCAGGGCUGGCCUACAACUAUUGCUGGGAACUCCAGAGGCCACCACAUUACUCUUAAAAAUAAAGAAGUUUGAUUAAUAAUUCAAGUUCAAGAGGAUAAGACAUCUUAAGAAGCAGGGGUUCUAACUUCCUUCUUCAUCUCUGGGGGUCCUGGAAAUGCUUGACAAUGGUACACUUUGGAUCAAACUGAGGGGGCCUCUGCCUAGGAAAGAAGGGUAAGGACUGAAGGUCCACUGUGCUGGGGUAAUGCAGGCUGGCAGCCCUGUGACUCUAGACCAUGAUCCAGGAGAACUGAUCAUGUGACUUCUAACAACAUUUGGUGAUGCUGAGUCUGUGUGACUCCAAAGCCUAGCUCCUAAGAAGCACUGUGAACAUCUUCUUGAACCCUCUUCCUGGAUCAAAGUCCACUGCUGUGUCACAAGAAGGGCAUGCGGCAGCAACUUAGGGUCACCAACAUUUCGCCCAAGUGAAUAGUCACAUGACUCACGUAGUCAGAUGACAACAUUAUGUGCAUCCUGAUUCAACUUCCUGCUAGAGCCUGAGCCUGAAGUCCCAGCCAAGCUACUCCUGGGUUCUGACCCUUAGACACAGAAACUGAAGCUCAACAGACUUCUCAAAGUCAGGUGGAGUCAGACUAUCUGAUGCACAGGAUGGUGAGAUAGAACACAUUCGUCUUUGAAGAAGCCAAGUCCAGGUUUGUGCUGACCUGGCACUGCUCCACCCAGCAUUCCAGAUGCAAAUGCGGAGAGAUGGAGAGCCUGCAAGCCACCGAUGGCUGUAGUUUGGAAAUAAAUAGCUCUGGAGCCUGGAUGCUCCUAAAGGAAGCCCGUCUCCGCUCGAGUUGGUGGAUGCUGAAGUGCUGGGAGUCAUGAACAGGUGGCUGAAGGACCAGCUUGGUCCCCCAACCUUGAUGCCUCAAGAAUGUACACAGAAAAUGGCAGUCAGCAUCCUUACAGAGUCACUAAGAAGACAAAAUUGGAGCAUCAAAGCCAUCCAGGAAGUGAAAAUACUCCAACCUGGGUCACACACAGAAAGCAGGAGAAAAAACCGUUAACAUGCAUCCUGGCUGAAUCAGUGUCUAAAAGCAGCAUUUGAAAAUAUGAAACAAAAACUUUAAAUCAUAAGUGGCAAAGCUCAGAACAAAAAUAUCCCCCAACAUCCUUAUAUACUCAAGAAAAAUGUGAAAUAAGAAUUGAAUAAACUCUGGAAAGCAAUAGAAGGAAAAAUAAAUAAAAUAAAUAAAAAUAAAUGCUAUCUUAGUACCCAUAGGACCCCAAAUCUUAUUGGAUAUGAGGAAAGUGAGAGAGGUUAACAGAAUGGAGAACAAAGCAAAGGUGGGAACAAAAGUCAUAUGGAGACCAUGUGCUAGACAUCAGUCCCAGAAGAGUCUAAAACAGAAAACACACAAUGAGAAAUAACACAUACCUAAAACUACAGGCUACAGUGAAUUUCUAUCAGGAAAUGAGGAUCUGAAGCUCCAUCUUUAAGGAUUCACAGUAUACGU